UCUCUCUCUCCCUCUCUCUCUCUACACAAAUGAAAAGGAAAGCUGGAUUUUAGAGCAGAAGAAAAGAUACACCAAGUCUUUUCAAUCUCACCUGCACUGUUCCAUCCGUUCUCUGGAACCUCACUUCACUUCAUUUCUUUUCCCAACUUUCUUUUGCCUAUUAGACGGCCGAUCAAUGAGAACAGAAAUCAGAAAGAUCUCCAAGUCUGCUUGGCCUAAAGUAGUUGCGCGGAAAUGGCUAAAUAUACAGAGUGGAGCAGACGAGUUUCAUUCCGAUUAUUGCAUAAGAGACAAAGCUGAGGGAAGGAAGAGCUGUUCAGACGGGGACUAUUACGUUUUCGUACCAGAAGACUUAUCAGGUAAUACGACUGUAGACUUUGUUAAGUACAGAUGUGGAUCUCAGCCGUCAAAUCUCAUUACUCUAAUUUACUCUUUAGCGCAUUUUAGCCGUCAGAUUUAAUUUGAUUAAAUAUGAUUGGACAUUGGAAAAGAAGGGGUCCGUUGUUUUUGGUUGGGUCCCGUCAUUGGUUUGGUGGUGCGUUACUGUGCCACGUGGAUCGCGGGGGUACAGGGGAUUCUAUGCUCUGUUUGGAUUGUUCGUCAUGCGUUUUCGUUUUCUUAUUAUUUAUAUAUAUAUUUUUUAAUUAAAUUUUUAUUAGAAGGGUGGUUGAUGGAAGCCAGUAAUGGAGUUAAACGGUCAAAAAUGGAGCAGCAGGAAGCAUCACCUCCCACCGAUUCUCUCAAUCUCAGGAUGUUCGUGGGUACAUGGAAUGUUGGAGGGAAGUGUCCCCACGAGGGUCUCAACUUGAGAGAUUGGCUAAAGUCGCCUGCUCCUGCUGACAUUUAUGUUCUCGGGUUCCAGGAAAUUGUGCCCCUGAAUGCAGGGAACGUACUUGGAGCAGAGGACAAUGGCCCAGCUGUCAAGUGGCUUUCCCUAAUUCGACAAGCACUCAACAAGAAUAAAAAUGACCAAGAAUUUCCUCAAUAUUACAAAAAUGCUACUGAAGCUAAACAUUCAUCUUCACCACAAGCUGAUCAACAAGCUUGCUUCAAACCUAGAGUCAGCUUUUCUGACUUGCUUUCAUUAGAAGAUGAGCUUGGGAAUGAGGAUUUUAAAAGAUUACUAUGCUUAAGUGAAGACGGCUCUCCUAGCCCACCUUGCUUCUCUGCAGGCAGUCCAAUGAGGCAGCAUUACUGCCUAGCAGUUAGCAAGCAAAUGGUUGGAAUCUUCUUAUGCGUGUGGGUUCGAUCAGACCUCUACAAACAUAUUAGUAAUUUGAAGGUCUCAUGUGUUGGUCGUGGCAUUAUGGGUUACCUUGGCAACAAGGGCUCGAUUUCGAUCAGUAUGACAUUGCACCAGACAACAUUUUGCUUUGUUUGCACGCACUUGACUUCUGGGGAGAAAGAAGGCGAUGAGGUCAGAAGAAACUCAGAUGUCACUGAAAUAUUAAAGAAAACUAGGUUUUUUCAUUCAUGUAGAGGUCUUAGUCAACCUCUUCCUCCUGAAAGUAUAUUAGAUCAUGACAAGAUCAUUUGGCUUGGAGAUUUGAAUUAUCGGCUAGCAGCAGGUUGUGGAGACACACAUGAGCUUCUAAAGAAGAAUGACUGGCAAGCACUUUUAGAAAAAGAUCAGCUAAAGAUAGAGCAAAGAGCUGGUCGAGUGUUCAAAGGAUGGGAAGAAGGGAGGAUAUAUUUUGCUCCAACUUACAAGUACCUUACCAAUUCAGAUCAUUACGUAGUCCAAACCUCAAAAUCCAAAGAGAAACGUCGCACUCCUGCUUGGUGCGACCGAAUCCUGUGGAAAGGUGAAGGUCUUAAACAGAUGUGGUAUGUAAGAGGGGAGUCAAGAUUCUCAGACCAUAGACCUGUCUAUUCUUUAUUCUCCGUCCAAGUCAGCCUGUCAUAUUCAAAAACAAGCCAAAAAUCAGGAAGAUCUUUAACAAGUUCUGUUUUGCAAUCUACUUGUGUGGCCAAAGUCCAAGCAGAGGAACUCUUGAUAAUUCCCAGGGCACAAUGCUGCAUAGACACAGCCCCCAGGUUAUAAUAAUCAUUGCUAUAAUAUGUAAUCUAAACCUCAUUUUGUAAAGCAAUAGUCCAGGCACCGCCAGACACUUCCAACGUCACCGGCAUUUUUACGGUAUGGGAUGGCGUGCCCUGCAGUUUCCGUGAUGAUUAGACCAACAAGAACCUUUUUGUUGUUGUAUUAGUAGAAAAUUAUCAAAUGAAAAGAAAAGAAAAGUGCCAAGGGGUUUCGCGUGCCUGAAAUUUUUUACUUUAAAAUAUAUGGGAUUGAGAAAAGAAAACAUGGAGAUUAGGCUAUGUUUGUUAUACGAGUUUUGAAGUAAAAUAGCGCCUGAGCAAGAAUUGGGUCGAUCUCUGGGCUUCUUUUGAAUCAUUUGUGUUGAAGCUCCUGCAGGUGCAUAAGAAGAUGUUUGAUUUGCUUGUCAUUCUUAGAGAUUCUGAUUAAAAUGUAAAUUAAGAAGUACACAUCUCUUUCACAAGAAAUGGGAUUUUAAAUAUGAUAGUCUUGGGAGACUCAGUAAGCCUUUUGAAUUGUUAAUUUUGUUUUCG
This 2571-nucleotide unclassified non-coding RNA is filed under the name Hevea brasiliensis (rubber tree). The record is from RNAcentral. Lineage: Eukaryota; Viridiplantae; Streptophyta; Magnoliopsida; Malpighiales; Euphorbiaceae.